AUUGAACGCUGGCGGCAGGCCUAACACAUGCAAGUCGAACGAGUGGCGGACGGGUGAGUAAUGUCUGGGAAACUGCCUGAUGGAGGGGGAUAACUACUGGAAACGGUAGCUAAUACCGCAUACCAUCGGAUGUGCCCCGAUGGGAUUAGCUAGUAGGUGGGGGAAAGGCUCACCUAUGCGACGAUCCCUAGCUGGUCUGAGCGGAUGAACAGACACCCUGGAACUGAGACACGGUCCAGACUCCUACGGGCGGCAGAAGUGGGGAAUAUUGCACAAUGGGCGCAAGCCUGAUGCAGCCAUGCGGCGUGGAUGACGAAGGCCUUCGGGUUGUAAAGUACUUUCAGCGGUGAGGCGUUACCCGCAGAAGAAGCACCGGCUAACUCCGUGCCAGCCGCCGCGGUAAUUC
Molecule: ribosomal RNA, 406 nt
Filed under: uncultured bacterium
Lineage: Bacteria
Description: partial 16S ribosomal RNA
Rfam family: Bacterial small subunit ribosomal RNA
Source: RNAcentral